Molecule: ribosomal RNA, 496 nt
Filed under: uncultured bacterium
Lineage: Bacteria
Description: partial 16S ribosomal RNA
Rfam family: Bacterial small subunit ribosomal RNA
Source: RNAcentral
AUGCACGCUGGCGGCGUGCCUCAUACGUGCAAGUCGAGCGAACAGACGAGGAGCUUGCUCCUCUGACGUUAGCGGCGGACGGGUGAGUAACACGUGGAUAACCUACCUAUAAGACUGGGAUAACUUCGGGAAACCGGAGCUAAUACCGGAUAAUAUAUUGAACCGCAUGGUUCAAUAGUGAAAGACGGUUUUGCUGUCACUUAUAGAUGGAUCCGCGCCGCAUUAGCUAGUUGGUAAGGUAACGGCUUACCAAGGCAACGAUGCGUAGCCGACCUGAGAGGGUGAUCGGCCACACUGGAACUGAGACACGGUCCAGACUCCUACGGGAGGCAGCAGUAGGGAAUCUUCCGCAAUGGGCGAAAGCCUGACGGAGCAACGCCGCGUGAGUGAUGAAGGUCUUCGGAUCGUAAAACUCUGUUAUUAGGGAAGAACAAAUGUGUAAGUAACUAUGCACGUCUUGACGGUACCUAAUCAGAAAGCCACGGCUAACUACGUG